Molecule: ribosomal RNA, 889 nt
Filed under: uncultured bacterium
Lineage: Bacteria
Description: bacterial SSU rRNA
Rfam family: Bacterial small subunit ribosomal RNA
Source: RNAcentral
GUGCCAGCAGCCGCGGUAAUACGGAAGGUCCAGGCGUUAUCCGGAUUUAUUGGGUUUAAAGGGAGCGUAGGCGGCUUGGUAAGCGUGUUGUGAAAUGUCGGUGCUCAACAUCGUCACUGCAGCGCGAACUGCCUGGCUUGAGUGCGCGGAAAGUAGGCGGAAUUUGUGGUGUAGCGGUGAAAUGCUUAGAUAUCACGAAGAACUCCGAUUGCGAAGGCAGCUUACUGUAGCGCAACUGACGCUGAAGCUCGAAAGUGUGGGUAUCGAACAGGAUUAGAUACCCUGGUAGUCCACACGGUAAACGAUGGAUGCUCGCUGUACUGCCUUCGGGUAGUGUGGCCAAGCGAAAGCGUUAAGCAUCCCACCUGGGGAGUACGCCGGCAACGGUGAAACUCAAAGGAAUUGACGGGGGCCCGCACAAGCGGAGGAACAUGUGGUUUAAUUCGAUGAUACGCGAGGAACCUUACCCGGGCUUGAACUGCCAGCGAACGAUACAGAGAUGUUGAGGCCCUUCGGGGCGCUGGUGGAGGUGCUGCAUGGUUGUCGUCAGCUCGUGCCGUGAGGUGUCGGCUUAAGUGCCAUAACGAGCGCAACCCCUGUCGUUAGUUGCCAUCAGGUCAUGCUGGGCACUCUAGUGAUACUGCCACCGCAAGGUGUGAGGAAGGUGGGGAUGACGUCAAAUCAGCACGGCCCUUACGUCCGGGGCUACACACGUGUUACAAUGGCGCAUACAGAGAGUUGGUUGUUCGUAAGGAUGAUCUAAUCAUUAAAAUGCGUCGUAGUUCGGAUUGGGGUCUGCAACCCGACCCCAUGAAGCUGGAUUCGCUAGUAAUCGCGCAUCAGCCAUGGCGCGGUGAAUACGUUCCCGGGCCUUGUACACACCGCCCGU